CCUACGGGAGGUAGCAGUGAGGAAUAUUGGUCAAUGGGCGCGAGCCUGAACCAGCCAAGUAGCGUGAAGGAUGACUGCCCUACGGGUUGUAAACUUCUUUUAUAAAGGAAUAAAGUGAGGCACGUGUGCCGUUUUGUAUGUACUUUAUGAAUAAGGAUCGGCUAACUCCGUGCAAGCAGCCGCGGUAAUACGGAGGAGCCGAGCGUUAUCCGGAUUUAUUGGGUUUAAAGGGAGCGUAGAUGGGUGGUUAAGUCAGUUGGAAAAGUUUGCGGCUCAACCGUAAAAUUGCAAUUGAUACUGGCAGCCUGGAGUACAGUUGACGUAGGCGGAAUUCGUGGUGUAGCGGUGAAAUGCUUAGAUAUCACGAAGAACUCCGAUUGCGAAGGCAACCUACUAAACUGCCACUGACAUUGAUGCUCGAAAGUGUGGGUAUCAAACAGGAUUAGAUACCCUAGUAGUC
RNAcentral lists this ribosomal RNA (460 nucleotides) under uncultured bacterium. RNAcentral describes it as "partial 16S ribosomal RNA". It matches the Rfam family "Bacterial small subunit ribosomal RNA", at positions 338 to 795 of the family's 1533-position model. The record is from RNAcentral.